RNAcentral lists this ribosomal RNA (253 nucleotides) under uncultured bacterium. Its description in RNAcentral is "partial 16S ribosomal RNA". It matches the Rfam family "Bacterial small subunit ribosomal RNA", at positions 524 to 776 of the family's 1533-position model. The record is from RNAcentral.
UACGUAGGGUGCGAGCGUUGUCCGGAAUUACUGGGCGUAAAGAGCUCGUAGGUGGUUUGUCGCGUUGUCCGUGAAAACUCACAACUCAAUUGUGGGCGUGCGGGCGAUACGGGCAGACUGGAGUACUGCAGGGGAGACUGGAAUUCCUGGUGUAGCGGUGGAAUGCGCAGAUAUCAGGAGGAAUACCAGUGGCGAAGGCGGCCUUCUGGACAGAUACUGACGCUGAGGCGCGAAAUCCAGGGGAGCAAACGGG